This 103-nucleotide microRNA precursor is filed under the name Marmota monax (woodchuck). The record is from RNAcentral. Lineage: Eukaryota; Metazoa; Chordata; Mammalia; Rodentia; Sciuridae.
AGUCAGAUAACUGGGUCAAGUGGUUGUUCCAUUCUAAGUUUUCUGAGAAAUCUCCAGAUUGCCUUUCAGAGUAUUUGAACCAAUUUGCAGUCCCACCAGCAAU